RNAcentral lists this long non-coding RNA (1028 nucleotides) under Nicotiana benthamiana. RNAcentral describes it as "long non-coding RNA (NBEN_LNC002648)". Lineage: Eukaryota; Viridiplantae; Streptophyta; Magnoliopsida; Solanales; Solanaceae. The record is from RNAcentral.
UCCUCAGCAGCAGUUGCCACCCGCAGCAAUGUUGCUCAAGCUAACAUGGUUGCACCUUUCACAGGUCUUAAGUCUGCUGCCUCAUUCCCUGUUUCAAGAAAGCAAAACCUUGACAUCACUUCCAUUGCCAGCAACGGCGGAAGAGUGCAAUGCAUGCAGGUAAACUGACAAUUUUGAUACAAUUAACGUAUCUUAACAUGUCAUGGCUAAAAUUUCUAUUUGGUGGAGUACAGGUGUGGCCACCAAUUAACAUGAAGAAGUAUGAGACUCUCUCAUACCUUCCCGAUUUGAGCCAGGAGCAAUUGCUCUCCGAAAUUGAGUACCUUUUGAAAAAUGGAUGGGUUCCUUGCUUGGAAUUCGAGACUGAGGUCAAUAUCUGUUUUAAAUGUUGCACGCUCCCUCUAUUUUAUGCCAUAUCUAUUUGUUCCAAAAAAAUUGAACUUUAAACUUUAAUGUGUUAUUUCGUAUGUGCAGAAAGGAUUUGUCUACCGUGAACACCACAAGUCACCAGGAUACUAUGAUGGCAGGUUAGUAGCAGAUCCACAAUUAUUUAGUUAAAUUAUGGAUAUAUGCGUGUAAAUCUUGAAAAAUAAUCAGAACAAAAUCUUAAAAUAUAAAUGUUGUGAUACAGAUACUGGACCAUGUGGAAGCUACCUAUGUUCGGAUGCACUGAUGCCACCCAAGUGUUGGCUGAGGUGGGAGAGGCGAAGAAGGAAUACCCACAGGCCUGGGUCCGUAUCAUUGGAUUUGACAACGUGCGUCAAGUGCAGUGCAUCAGUUUCAUUGCCUCCAAGCCUGACGGCUACUGAGUUUCAUAUUAGGACAACUUACCCUAUUGUCUGUCUUUAGGGGCAGUUUGUUUGAAAUGUUACUUAGCUUCUUUUUUUUCCUUCCCAUAAAAACUGUUUAUGUUCCUUCUUUUUAUUCGGUGUAUGUUUUUGGAUUCCUACCAAGUUAUGAGACCUAAUAAUUAUGAUUUUGUGCUUUGUUUGUAAAUUUUGUUGUUUCACAUUAUUGUGGCGUAUAAG